Molecule: ribosomal RNA, 194 nt
Filed under: uncultured bacterium
Lineage: Bacteria
Description: partial 16S ribosomal RNA
Rfam family: Bacterial small subunit ribosomal RNA
Source: RNAcentral
CCUACGGGAGGCAGCAGUGGGGAAUUUUGGACAAUGGGCGCAAGCCUGAUCCAGCAAUGCCGCGUGAGUGAAGAAGGCCUUCGGGUUGUAAAGCUCUUUUGUCAGGGAAGAAACGGUUCGGGUUAAUACCUUGGGCUAAUGACGGUACCUGAAGAAUAAGCACCGGCUAACUACGUGCCAGCAGCCGCGGUAAU